AGUGAACGCUGGCGGCGUGCCUAAUACAUGCAAGUCGAACGGAAUUUAAAAGAGCUUGCUCUUUUAAAUUUAGUGGCGCACGGGUGAGUAAUAUAUAGCUAAUCUGCCCCUUGCUGGAGGACAACAGUUAGAAAUGACUGCUAAUACUCCAUACUCCUUUUUACCAUAAGAUAAAUCGGGAAAGAAUUUCGGCAAGGGAUGAGACUAUAUCGUAUCAGCUAGUCGGUGGGGUAACGGCCUACCGAGGCUAUGACGCGUAACUGGUCUGAGAGGAUGAUCAGUCACAUUGGAACUGAGACACGGUCCAAACUCCUACGGGAGGCAGCAGUAGGGAAUAUUGCGCAAUGGGGGAAACCCUGACGCAGCAACGCCGCGUGGAGGAUGACACUUUUCGGAGCGUAAACUCCUUUUGUUAGGGAAGAAUAAGAC
This 429-nucleotide ribosomal RNA is filed under the name Campylobacter gracilis. RNAcentral's name for it is "bacterial SSU rRNA". It matches the Rfam family "Bacterial small subunit ribosomal RNA", at positions 29 to 455 of the family's 1533-position model. Lineage: Bacteria; Pseudomonadati; Campylobacterota; Epsilonproteobacteria; Campylobacterales; Campylobacteraceae. The record is from RNAcentral.